Molecule: long non-coding RNA, 1535 nt
Organism: Melanaphis sacchari
Lineage: Eukaryota; Metazoa; Arthropoda; Insecta; Hemiptera; Aphididae
Exons: 6
Source: RefSeq, a predicted model, not a curated record
GCGGCCCGGACCAGCUGCGGCUCGGGGCCGUGCGGUCGUCGUGUUAUUAUUGUUAUCUUUUUAGCCAUGCGUGUGCACUGUGCGCGCAUAUCGGCCGCUCAGCAGCUCUUCCGACGGCCGUCAGGUGAUUCCAACGUUUUCACCGUUCGCGAGUCGCGACUCGCGAUGUUAUUCUUGUUCAGACGGUUCGGUCGGCUCGAUUACAGUCGAAAGGCCGACUGAUCGCGCGCCUCCUACGCUCGGUCGGUGUUUUUAAUUUUUUUUUCUUUCAUGCUUUAGACAACGUUUUCAUGAAAUAUAAUGUUCCGACGAUGCGACCGUGAACGUUUACUCGAGUUCUGAUGUGUUUCGAACAGCAUUGGUACUUUUGGUAGAUGAGAGGGUUUCGAUGCUUUUAACAUUUAGCGAUUUAUGAGAUGAACUACUCGGGGUGACUAGGAACGCUUAUUUAAAAUCUUUAGAGGGUGCAUAGAUCUAUCAAGCAGGCGUGUAUCGAAAAUUUACUGAGAGGGUUCAGAAAUUGUGUACCAAGCAAAUAUGUUUAAGUGAUACAAUAUUUGAUACAAAUAAUAUUCAGAUGGGAAUAACAAAUUGUAGAGACCACCCUUCAGUGAAGAUUUUCGUCAAGAGAUUAAAUAUUAAACUUAAAAAUUAAAUAUUUUUAAAAGUUUCAGCUUCACCAGUUUUUACUUCUUGAGACUUGAAUAAUCUUGAGCUAAAAUUACGGAUUCACAUAAUAUACCUAUAUGUUUACUUUAAUGUACAAUAUUGAAAUUGUUCAAGACCUUGACCCAUUCGCUCUUUUCCUCAGUAGUAUGAUACAUUCAUUGGCCUAAAAAGGAGUUCAUUGAUAUGAAUAAAAUUGAAAGGAUUAAUUACGGUGAUUCAAUUGGUUGUGCCUCAGUGUCCAAUAUAUGAUAUAUGGAGCCAUGGAUUCAAAUUCUAUAAUUUGCAUUGUUUUUUACUUAGUUCUCCAUGCAUUGUCUUUAAUCAUUCCUUUUUUCUGAAUGCUCUGAAAAGGACUAACAUAUCAUGUCAAAUGGCAAUGGAGAUGAGGUUUUAUGAUGAGAUUUAGAUUUUUCAACUUUUCAACAAAUGAAAUUUUCAUUGUUGUUCCUGAAAAUAUUUGAUAUUUAUAAUCACAUGCAGUCCAUUCAAGAUGAAAAAUGUCAGAUAGUUGUUCACAUGUAUUGCAAUUGCAAUAUAAAUGAAAGAAUAUUUGAACAGAAUUAAAAAAUAUUCAAGGUUUACUCCAACAAUAAGUUCAACAGUUAUUAAAACAGUAUAUGAUGAGAUGUUUUAGAAUUUAUUGAUAAAUUUCAUAUUUGUCUAGAGACAUAGUUCAUAUUAUUCUAAUUUAAAUAGUUUUGAUUAUGAUCAUGGAUGAAACUAGAAAUUUUCAUUAGAUCAGGUCAUAAUACAGUAAAAGCUGCUUAAUAGGAAUACUUUUGUAUCAAAGUGGGAUGUAAAAAUGGACUGACUGUUUAUGGGUUUUAUAUUUUAAACUUUAUUCAUAUGUACUUACAUAUUAUGAA